AAUGAAAAGCCCUAUACAAAGUUUAAUUCUUGAACUCGGUUUAAGCCCGGGUUCAGCUGAGCGGUCGAUGUUCGAGAUAUGUAUUUAUACAGAUCUGGUGGAGUCUCACAGUUGCUACUCUAAGCAGCAGAUGAAAGCAUACAAAAGCCUUCAGGCACAUAAAUAUUUUACAGCUGGAUUUGUUUUGAAUGGAGUAAAAAUUGUUAAUGAUUUCCUGAUUUCCAUAUUAUUGUUGGAAAGGUGAAGCAUUUCCAAAAAGCUAAUGCUAAACGACUAAAUGCUUGGGUGGGGUGAUAGCCAGUUCUGAUGACAUAGCAAAUGCACAUUGUAUGCGUAUGGCUGGUAAUAGUGAAGUCUGCAGCCAUAUUGCAGCAAUCCUAUUUUUAGCUGAGUAUGCCCAGAGCAAGACAGACGAAGAAGAACCCAAUGCAUGUACAUAUGUUACAGCUACAUGGUUUGGAGAUAGCAACAUAUGCAUUCUCUGAUGAAAAACUAAUGAGUUUUGAAACUGUUCGGUCAGAGUGCUUGUUGCGCUCACUAAACGAACUGAAAUAUAAGAAGUCUUUGGCAUUGUGUUGCAGCGAUAUGAAAAUGGUUAUUCAUUUUUAAUUAUAAUGUACUUCUUCAUCAUGAGUAAUUAUGUAUUGGUCUUUUAGAUGUGUAUUUAUUUUUGUAAUUAGUAUCAACUUGUAAUGAUAAUAUACAUUUAUCGUUUAAGGUACGACUAUGUUUUGACUCUAAAAUAAAUGUUUUAAAAAUCGAA
This is a long non-coding RNA of Diabrotica virgifera virgifera (western corn rootworm), 763 nucleotides long. RefSeq lists it as uncharacterized. The record is from RefSeq and is a predicted model, not a curated record. Lineage: Eukaryota; Metazoa; Arthropoda; Insecta; Coleoptera; Chrysomelidae. The transcript is spliced from 2 exons.